This 72-nucleotide transfer RNA is filed under the name Camelus bactrianus (Bactrian camel). It matches the Rfam family "tRNA". From Rfam's summary of the family: Transfer RNA (tRNA) molecules are approximately 80 nucleotides in length. Lineage: Eukaryota; Metazoa; Chordata; Mammalia; Artiodactyla; Camelidae. RNAcentral also lists the same sequence under 1 other name. The record is from Rfam by way of RNAcentral.
GUGGGUAUAGCUCAGAGGUAGAGUGAGUGCUUAGCAUACACAAGGUCCUGGGUACAAUCCCCAGUAUCUCCA